CUUUCUUGCACUGAGAUCUGCUUAUUGUAAAUAUCUUGUACUUGUUUUUACACCUUUGAAUGUUAAAGUUGACCUUUGACCUUUUCAGUGUUGGAAAGACACUUUCUUGCACUGAGAUCUGCUUAUUGUGUCAUGAUUCGGCUGUGUGGCAGGCAGGAAGUGGACCCAAACGCAAGCUCACAGAGGCAGGAAUGAACUCAAAACACAGCUUUAUUGCUGGAGGGAAACGGUGAAACAAACUGAUAAACUACACUGGGAAAAUAUACACUAGCACACAGGGAAACACACGGCCAUGAAUGAGGGAGAACGUGACACAGGACUGAGGGAGACGCGGACCUAAAUACACAGAGGGUUAACGAGGGGAGUGGGAGCACACAGGGAACACAGGUGACACUGAUAAUCAUAACGAGACAGGGCAGGAGUGAACACAACAUGACGCAUACUGACGAGGGACUGUCAAAGUAAAACAGGAAGCGCACAGAGGUUCAGACAGGUGGAGAGAGAGAGGACAGACAUAACGGGCUGGGGACAACAUUGAAUGAAACACGAGGGGAAACGAGGGCUCACAGAUACACAGAGGGGCACACAGGGGGUAAUCAAAUAAGGAACAUCUUGGCAGAAACUAGGAACCACGGCAUAAUGAAAGAACAAAGUACAAAACACAUAAAAACUAAGAAUACUGGGCCAACGUGGCCCGGGACCAUGACAUCUUGUCAAUAUCUUGUACUUGUUUUUACACCUUUUAAUGUUAAAGUUGACCUUUGUCCUUUUCAGUGUUGGAAAGACACUUUCUUGCACUGAGGUCUGCUUAUUGUAAAUAUCUUGUACUUGUUUUUACACCUUUUAAUGUUAAAGUUGACCUUUGACCUUUUCAGUGUUGGAAAUACGCUUUCUUGCACUGAGAUCUGCUUAUUGUAAAUAUCUUGUACUUGUUUUUACACCUUUGAAUGUUAAAGUUGAC
Oreochromis aureus is the source of this 961-nucleotide long non-coding RNA. The record is from Ensembl. NCBI's taxonomy places the organism in Eukaryota, Metazoa, Chordata, Actinopteri, Cichliformes, Cichlidae.